This 253-nucleotide ribosomal RNA is filed under the name uncultured bacterium. RNAcentral describes it as "partial 16S ribosomal RNA". It matches the Rfam family "Bacterial small subunit ribosomal RNA", at positions 524 to 776 of the family's 1533-position model. The record is from RNAcentral.
CACGUAGGGGACGAGCGUUGUCCGGAUUCAUUGGGCGUAAAGCGCGCGUAGGCGGCUCGGAAAGUCGGGCGUGAAAUGCCGGGGCUCAACCCCGGGACUGCGUCCGAUGCUUCCGAGCUGGAGGUAGGUAGGGGAGAUCGGAAUUCCUGGUGUAGCGGUGAAAUGCGCAGAUAUCAGGAGGAACACCGGUGGCGAAGGCGGAUCUCUGGGCCUUACCUGACGCUGAGGCGCGAAAGCUAGGGGAGCGAACAGG